RNAcentral lists this long non-coding RNA (552 nucleotides) under Salmo salar (Atlantic salmon). RNAcentral describes it as "lncRNA (ENSSSAG00000103480.1)". Lineage: Eukaryota; Metazoa; Chordata; Actinopteri; Salmoniformes; Salmonidae. The record is from RNAcentral.
CGACGUUAUUCCUCUCUCCUACAGCAUCCAUCACAAUUACAUGCACAUGGCCAAUUAUCCAAAUUAGGUGAUGACAUCAUUUAGCAACUUCUAGCAACUUUUAGGAAAGCCAAUAGCUACUUUCCAUACUGAGGAGUUGGCAGCACUGCCCGUGGGAGCUGCGCGGCAGUCUCGAGGGAAUAUUGCUCACAGCUGCUGGUCCUUGCCUUGUCUGUACAAGGAGAAGGCAUUAUUUGAUUGGCUAAUGGCAAAUAGGCAUUGAAAAUGACCCAACACACCUCCAAGCUGUGUAAGGGCUAUUUGACCAAUAAGGAGAGGAAUGGAGUGCUGUAUCAGAUGACCUGGCAUCCACAAUCACCCGACCUCACCCCAAUUGAGUUGGACGGCAGUGUGAAGGAAAAGCAGAUAACAAGUGCUCAGCAUAUGUGGGAACUCCUUCAAGAUUGUUGGAAAAGCAGUCCAGGUGAAGCUGGUUGAGAGAAUGCCAAGAGUGUGCAAAGCUGUCAUCAAGGCAAAGGGUGGCUACUUUGAAAAAUUUAAAAUAUAUUUGGA